UACGAAGGGAGCUAGCGUUGUUCGGAAUCACUGGGCGUAAAGCGCACGUAGGCGGAUGUGUCAGUCAGGGGUGAAAUCCCGGAGCUCAACUUCGGAACUGCCCUUGAUACAGCACGUCUUGAGUCCGAGAGAGGUGAGUGGAAUUCCUAGUGUAGAGGUGAAAUUCGUAGAUAUUGGGAGGAACACCAGUGGCGAAGGCGGCUCACUGGACCGGUACUGACGCUGAUGCGCGAAAGCGUGGGGAGCAAACGGG
This 253-nucleotide ribosomal RNA is filed under the name uncultured bacterium. RNAcentral's name for it is "partial 16S ribosomal RNA". It matches the Rfam family "Bacterial small subunit ribosomal RNA", at positions 524 to 776 of the family's 1533-position model. The record is from RNAcentral.